Molecule: ribosomal RNA, 472 nt
Filed under: uncultured organism
Description: partial 16S ribosomal RNA
Rfam family: Bacterial small subunit ribosomal RNA
Source: RNAcentral
ACACUCCUGCGGGAGGCAGCAGUGGGGAAUAUUGCACAAUGGGCGCAAGCCUGAUGCAGCCAUGCCGCGUGUAUGAAGAAGGCCUUCGGGUUGUAAAGUACUUUCAGCGGGGAGGAAGGCGAUAAGGUUAAUAACCUUGUCGAUUGACGUUACCCGCAGAAGAAGCACCGGCUAACUCCGUGCCAGCAGCCGCGGUAAUACGGAGGGUGCAAGCGUUAAUCGGAAUUACUGGGCGUAAAGCGCACGCAGGCGGUCUGUCAAGUCGGAUGUGAAAUCCCCGGGCUCAACCUGGGAACUGCAUUCGAAACUGGCAGGCUAGAGUCUUGUAGAGGGGGGUAGAAUUCCAGGUGUAGCGGUGAAAUGCGUAGAGAUCUGGAGGAAUACCGGUGGCGAAGGCGGCCCCCUGGACAAAGACUGACGCUCAGGUGCGAAAGCGUGGGGAGCAAACAGGAUUAGAAACCCGAGUAGUCCC